AAGUCCUGCCCUUGUUUUUCCUCUGUCUGGUUGUCACCUGGAUGGGAUCUAGGAAUUCGCUUUCGACCAAGUCCAGAUCUAUUUUACAGUGCCGAUUUAUAAGCUUGUGCAAAAUAUUAAUUUUUAGAAUGUUAAAACAAGAGCUUGUUUAAGGCCCCUUUAUUCUAGUCAGCACUCGCCUAGUUAAAUCAACCAGAAGUGUAUGGAACAAUCCUAAGCUGAAUACUUUAUUAGAAUGAGAAAAAAUUGCUUGGUCUGGGAACACAAAAGUCGUGUUCGUAAUAAGAGUUGGCCUAUGCUUCUGGGUAUAGGGGGAAGACCAUAGAGGUCGUACAACGUUGGGUGAGGUAGUAUAGUGCCUGUUGAUAUUAUCUAAAAAAGGU
This 383-nucleotide unclassified non-coding RNA is filed under the name Hevea brasiliensis (rubber tree). The record is from RNAcentral. Lineage: Eukaryota; Viridiplantae; Streptophyta; Magnoliopsida; Malpighiales; Euphorbiaceae.